RNAcentral lists this ribosomal RNA (253 nucleotides) under uncultured bacterium. RNAcentral's name for it is "partial 16S ribosomal RNA". It matches the Rfam family "Bacterial small subunit ribosomal RNA", at positions 524 to 776 of the family's 1533-position model. The record is from RNAcentral.
UACGGAGGGGGCUAGCGUUGUUCGGAAUUACUGGGCGUAAAGGGCGCGUAGGCGGCCGAGCAAGUUAGAUGUGAAAGUCCUGGGCUUAACCUGGGGACUGCAUUUGAUACUGCUUGGCUUGAAUUCGGGAGAGGAUAGCGGAAUUCCCAGUGUAGAGGUGAAAUUCGUAGAUAUUGGGAAGAACACCGGUGGCGAAGGCGGCUAUCUGGACCGACAUUGACGCUGAGGCGCGAAAGCGUGGGGAGCAAACAGG